RNAcentral lists this ribosomal RNA (253 nucleotides) under uncultured bacterium. Its description in RNAcentral is "partial 16S ribosomal RNA". It matches the Rfam family "Bacterial small subunit ribosomal RNA", at positions 524 to 776 of the family's 1533-position model. The record is from RNAcentral.
UACGAAGGGGGCCAGCGUUGUCCGGAUUCAUUGGGCGUAAAGCGCGUGUAGGCGGCCAGGUAGGUCCGAUGUGAAAUCUGGAGGCUCAACCUCCAGCGGUCAUUGGAAACCAUCUGGCUAGAGUCCGGAAGAGGAGAGUGGAAUUCCUGGUGUAGCGGUGAAAUGCGCAGAUAUCAGGAAGAACACCAAUGGCGAAGGCAGCUCUCUGGGACGGUACUGACGCUGAGACGCGAAAGCGUGGGGAGCGAACAGG